AGUGAACGCUGGCGGUAGGCCUAACACAUGCAAGUCGAACGGCAGCACAGUAAGAGCUUGCCCUUCCGGUUGGUGAGUGGCGGACGCGUGCGGAAUACAUCGGAAUCUCCUUUUUCGUGGGGGAUAACGAAGGCAAACUUACGCUAAUACCGCAUACGACCUACGCGUGAAAGCAGUGGAUCUUCGUUCCUUGCGCGAUUGAAUGAGCCGAUGUCGGAUUAGCUAGUUGGCGGGGUAAAGGCCCACUAAGCCGACGCUCCGUAGCUGGUCUGCGAGGAUGAUCGGCCACGCUGCGACAGGGAGACGGUCCAGACUCCGACGGGGGGCAGCAGUGGGGAAUAUUGGGCAAUGGGAGCAAGCCUUAUCCAGCCAUACCGCGUGGGUUGAGAAGGCCAUCGGGUUGUAAAGUCGUUGUGCUGGGAAAGAAAAGCAGCUGGUUAAUGCGCAGAUGUACUGACGGUACCCAAAGAAUAAGCACCGGCUAACUUCGUG
This 492-nucleotide ribosomal RNA is filed under the name uncultured bacterium. RNAcentral's name for it is "partial 16S ribosomal RNA". It matches the Rfam family "Bacterial small subunit ribosomal RNA", at positions 29 to 507 of the family's 1533-position model. The record is from RNAcentral.